AGUGAACGCUGGCGGUAGGCCUAACACAUGCAAGUCGAACGGCAGCACAGUAAGAGCUUGCUCUUACGGGUGGCGAGUGGCGGACGGGUGAGGAAUACAUCGGAAUCUACUUUUUCGUGGGGGAUAACGUAGGGAAACUUACGCUAAUACCGCAUACGACCUACGGGUGAAAGCAGGGGAUCUUCGGACCUUGCGCGAUUGAAUGAGCCGAUGUCGGAUUAGCUAGUUGGCGGGGGAAAGGCCCACCAAGGCGACGAUCCGUAGCUGGUCUGAGAGGAUGAUCAGCCACACUGGAACUGAGACACGGUCCAGACUCCUACGGGAGGCAGCAGUGGGGAAUAUUGGACAAUGGGCGCAAGCCUGAUCCAGCCAUACCGCGUGGGUGAAGAAGGCCUUCGGGUUGUAAAGCCCUUUUGUUGGGAAAGAAAAGCAGCAGGUUAAUACCCAGCUGUUCUGACGGUACCCAAAGAAUAAGCACCGGCUAACUUCGUG
Molecule: ribosomal RNA, 492 nt
Filed under: uncultured bacterium
Lineage: Bacteria
Description: partial 16S ribosomal RNA
Rfam family: Bacterial small subunit ribosomal RNA
Source: RNAcentral